This 299-nucleotide ribosomal RNA is filed under the name uncultured bacterium. RNAcentral's name for it is "partial 16S ribosomal RNA". It matches the Rfam family "Bacterial small subunit ribosomal RNA", at positions 333 to 646 of the family's 1533-position model. The record is from RNAcentral.
UAUUACCUACGGGGGGCAGCAGUGGGGAAUAUUGGGCAAAGGGCGCAAGCCUGACCCAGCAACGCCGCGUGAAGGAAGAAGGCUUUCGGGUUGUACACUUCUUUUGUCAGGGACUAAGCAAGUGACGGUACCUGACGAAUAAGCCACGGCUAACUACGUGCCAGCAGCCGCGGUAAUACGUAGGUGGCAAGCGUUAUCCGGAUUUAUUGGGUGUAAAGGGCGUGUAGGCGGGAAUGCAAGGCAGAUGUGAAAAAUAAGGGCUCAACCCAUAGCCUGCAUUUGAAACUGUAUUUCUUGCG